GACGAACGCUGGCGGCGUGCUUAACACAUGCAAGUCGAGCGGUAAGGCCCUUUCGGGGGUACACGAGCGGCGAACGGGUGAGUAACACGUGGGUGACCUGCCCUCAGCUCUGGGAUAAGCCUGGGAAACCGGGUCUAAUACUGGAUAUGACUCCAUGACGCAUGUUGUGGGGUGGAAAGCCUUGUGCGGCUGAGGAUGGGCCCGCGGCCUAUCAGCUUGUUGGUGGGGUGAUGGCCUACCAAGGCGACGACGGGUAGCCGGCCUGAGAGGGCGACCGGCCACACUGGGACUGAGACACGGUCCAGACUCCUACGGGAGGCAGCAGUGGGGAAUUUUGGACAAUGGCGCAAGCCUGAUCCAGCCAUGCCGCGUGAGUGAAGAAGGCCUGGUGUAA
RNAcentral lists this ribosomal RNA (394 nucleotides) under uncultured bacterium. RNAcentral's name for it is "bacterial SSU rRNA". It matches the Rfam family "Bacterial small subunit ribosomal RNA", at positions 28 to 428 of the family's 1533-position model. The record is from RNAcentral.